Molecule: long non-coding RNA, 732 nt
Organism: Dermochelys coriacea (leatherback sea turtle)
Lineage: Eukaryota; Metazoa; Chordata; Testudines; Dermochelyidae
Exons: 2
Source: RefSeq, a predicted model, not a curated record
GAGAGUAGCUGAAAGCAUGGGAGACAAGAAGUUAGGAAAGCACACAAAACAAGCCCGAGAGGCUGUAGCUGGCUUGAAGAAGCAGCUUCAGGGGCCAAGAUAUUGAGCUGUGAUCCACUGUUGGGAAAGAGGGCUUGGAACAGCCUUACAUACACCUCUGCCUAAUGCAGAAAGACAUGUGAUGGGAACCUGAAGGGCCAGUGUGUACCUGAGGACUGAAUAAAUUGAACCCAGCAUUCUGCUUCGCUUUCUCUUAGAAGUCAGUUUUCAGAGCCAAAUUCCUUUUACUAGCUGGGAAGCAGAGACACGGACAGUUAACACUCUUUGUGGGUACAUUGGCUGGAGGCAACAACAGGUCUUAAACAUGUAAUCUGUAUGUGUUAGAGGGACUCAUUGAGCAGCAAGGCAAUUUAUUCUGUCAAAUUGGUCUGGAUUCUCAGUAUGGGGGAUAAGCGUAUUCACUGAAGCUUUUUGCAGUUAAACUCUUUUCUCCAUGGGUGAGAUUUACUUUUCAGUCCAGUCUACUUGCUUUGGAAAGCACGUUCUGUUGGUGACCCUUCAGUUGACCGGAAAAAUUAGGUCUUGAUGAAGAGGAGAAAAUCAUAGUCAUGAUACAGAAAAUGGAUAAUUAUAUUAAAUAAUAAUACUGCUUUGCAAAAUCCUUUGUAUUUUAACAAAGAAAAAUGUUUUCUAAAUAUGGUGUGCCUUAUAAAGCCCUCUGUUAAAAUCCUA